RNAcentral lists this ribosomal RNA (460 nucleotides) under uncultured bacterium. RNAcentral's name for it is "partial 16S ribosomal RNA". It matches the Rfam family "Bacterial small subunit ribosomal RNA", at positions 338 to 795 of the family's 1533-position model. The record is from RNAcentral.
CCUACGGGGGGCAGCAGUGAGGAAUAUUGGUCAAUGGACGAGAGUCUGAACCAGCCAAGUAGCGUGAAGGAUGACUGCCCUAUGGGUUGUAAACUUCUUUUAUAUGGGAAUAAAACGUUCCACGUGUGGGAUUUUGUAUGUACCAUAUGAAUAAGGAUCGGCUAACUCCGUGCCAGCAGCCGCGGUAAUACGGAGUAUCCGAGCGUUAUCCGUAUUUAUUGGGUUUAAAGGGAGCGUAGGUGGAUUGUUAAGUCAGUUGUGAAAGUUUGCGGCUCAACCGUAAAAUUGCAGUUGAAACUGGCAGUCUUGAGUACAGUAGAGGUGGGCGGAAGUCGUGGUGUAGCGGUGAAAUGCUUAGAUAUCACGAAGAACUCCGAUUGCGAAGGCAGUUCACUGGACUGCAACUGACACUGAGGCUCGAAAGUGUGGGUAUCAAACAGGAUUAGAUACCCUUGUAGUC